Molecule: microRNA, 19 nt
Filed under: Corchorus capsularis
Lineage: Eukaryota; Viridiplantae; Streptophyta; Magnoliopsida; Malvales; Malvaceae
Description: sRNA CCACVL1_18409
Source: RNAcentral
AUUAGCCAAGGUGACUGCC